This 221-nucleotide ribosomal RNA is filed under the name uncultured bacterium. RNAcentral's name for it is "partial 16S ribosomal RNA". It matches the Rfam family "Bacterial small subunit ribosomal RNA", at positions 114 to 334 of the family's 1533-position model. The record is from RNAcentral.
CGCGUGAGGAACCUGCCUCAAAGAGGGGGACAACAGUUGGAAACGACUGCUAAUACCGCAUAAGCCCACGGCUCGGCAUCGAGCAGAGGGAAAAGGAGCAAUCCGCUUUGAGAUGGCCUCGCGUCCGAUUAGCUAGUUGGUGAGGUAAGGCCCACCAAGGCGACGAUCGGUAGCCGGACUGAGAGGUUGAACGGCCACAUUGGGACUGAGACACGGCCCAG